CCCCCUUGAGCGAUAACCCCGGGAACUGGGACUAAUACCCGAUAGGCGAAGACUCCUGGAAUGGGUCUUCACCUAAAAGGUGUUAAGAUCAUGCUUUUUAACAUCGCCCGAGGACGGGGCCGCGACCGAUCAGGUAGUUGGCGAGGCAACGGCUCACCAAGCCUAUAACCGGUACGGGCCGUGGGAGCGGGAGCCCGGAGAUGGGCACUGAGACAAGGGCCCAGGCCCUACGGGGCGCAGCAGUUGCGAAAACUUGUCAAUGCACGAAAGUGUGAACGGGCUACCCCGAGUGCCGUCCGCUGAGGAUGGCUUUUCUCUGCUGUAAGAAGGCGGAGGAAUAAGGAGAGGGCAAGUCUGGUGUCAGCCGCCGCGGUAAUACCAGCUCUCCGAGUGGUAGGGAUGAUUAUUGGGCUUAAAGCGUCCGUAGCCGGCCUUUCAAGUCUUUCGUUAAAUCCAGCGACUAAUCGUUGGACUGCGGGAGAUACUGUUUGGCUAGGGGGCGGGAGAAGCCGACGGUAUUCUCGGGGUAGGGGUAAAAUCCUAUAAUCCCGGGAAGACCACCAGUGGCGUAGGCGGUCGGCUAGCACGCGCUCGACGGUGAGGGACGAAAGCUGGGGGAGCGAACCGGAUUAGAUACCCGGGUAGUCCCAGCUGUAAACGAUGCGGGCUAGGUGUUGGAGCGGCUACGAGCCGCUUCAGUGCCGCAGGGAAGCCAUUAAGCCCGCCGCCUGGGGAGUACGGCCGCAAGGCUGAAACUUAAAGGAAUUGGCGGGGGAGCAC
Molecule: ribosomal RNA, 780 nt
Filed under: uncultured archaeon
Lineage: Archaea
Description: bacterial SSU rRNA
Rfam family: Archaeal small subunit ribosomal RNA
Source: RNAcentral